AGUUAAGUUAAAGUUUUAGAAGGAUAUAUGUUUCCUUUGUUAGCUUAGUUUCUUAUUUUUAUUUGUAUUUUAAUUGAAUAAAUAUGAUUCUUUAGAUUUUACAUAUCUGAAGACAUAAAUUAAUUUCUAUUUUUUUUAUAUUUUAUUUUGUUAAUUUAAUAUUUUUAUUGAUUUUUUAAAGAUGUGAUUCUUGUAUCACCUAUCAUACAAGAAAAUUUGUGGACAUAAAUAUUUAUGUUUUGUUAAACUAUUUUAAUAUUAAUUUUCGUUGAGUUAGCACACAUGUAAAGUUAAUUGUUAGAUAAUUUAAGUUCAUAUAGUGAUAUUCUUUCAAAGUCUUGCAUUAUAUAAAAUCCUGAAUUUUAAGACAUAUUUUAUGCUCCUUUUCCAAAUAUUUAGUAAAUAAAUCAAUUUAAUUUCUUUUAAAGAUUUUUAGUUUGUUAUUCUGUCUUAUUUUAUAUUGAUUUCUGUUUUUAGUUUACCUUGUUUGAUACUAUUUUUAUUUUAUUUUGAAAUAAAUAUUUUUGGAAAAUUUAAUAUAACUAAAUGCUGAUUUGACAUAAUUUUUGGGAGAAACGCUCAGAUGCUCUUAAUGAGGCGAAAUUCAUUUUGUCGUACUCUUACUUAUUCUCACAUACUCUUGUCUAUUCUGAUACUCUUCAUAUGGAUGGGCAAUGUCGAAAGUGCCCCUCUGUAUAUGACCAAUAAAAAUCGAGCAAAAUAAGGGUUUUAAUUUAUUCAUUUUAUUUGGGGUUUAUAUUUUUUUAUUCUUUCUCUCUCCGAUGGUGGCGUUUCUUUCUCUCUCUCUCUCCUCCAUUUCUUGGUUUCGCGGUUUUUUGGCGAGAGCGCAAAUCAGCGAUUUCAAAUCUGCGGCUUGGAUGCUGAAUCAUUGAGCAGCAGGCCCAGAGCAAUUGAUCCCCAACCUAGGUCAAAUCAACUUCAGGUAAAGCAGUAUCUUGGUCUGUAUCGAUGAUAUUAGAUUGAUUUCAUAUUUGGGUCAAUUGAAUCGAAUUCUGGAGGAAUGGGAAAGUUUGGAUUGUCUGUAUGUUAUGGAUGUGGAUAAUCAACAACUAGAAGGUAAUGUCGGGAAUCAAAGCUGUGAAUUUUGAAUCCUGUUAAGAUGUUAUCGGAAACUGCUAGAGUAGAAAAAUGUAUGUAGGUGAAACUUUACUCCGUAACAAAAAAAGUGUAACAAGGUAUAACUUAGUAUAACUUCAAUAGCAUAACUGUAUAACUAGGUUUAACUUUGAAUAGUUAUUUUUUUUUUUACAACAGACAAUGGGUUAUUCUUCUACAAACAUACACUUCGACUAUUAUGGACAUUAUACAAAAUCUGGAGAUGAUAUGAAUGGAUUCCAAGCAAUGGUCGUUUGUAUGCUAUAUCCUUUAAGACAUCGUCAUUGGAUGAGAUCACUUAUUCGUUUUUCAAGGAGAGGAUAUGCAAGAAGAUGACCAUUUUUCCGUGUACAAAGAGUAUGAAACUGAGUUACAUUCCACUGGAAGUAGAACCUAAGAGGCAAUCAUAUAUUUUGGAUGAUGAAGAUGUGUUUGUGUAUUUGACAUCAGUGGAUAAAGAGGAAAGAAGAAGUAUUUUGCAUGUAGAGGUCAUCGAAGAAAUGGAAAUAGUUCCAAUAACAGAGCAACAAUCAAGAGUUGAGAAAGAAAGCUCAUAUGAUGGGAACUAUAGUGAGCUUGCGAGUGGAUUACCAGAUGAUGAAAGUAAUCCAGGUGCACUCACUCUGUUUACUCCUAUUGAAGAAGCAUAACAAUAUCUAGAGGGGAUUGAGCAGGUGAAGAAUGUUGUGAAUGGAGAAGCCGAGGAAGGGAGCAUUGGUAUGGAUAAUAUGGACAGCGUGAACAAUGAGGGCGACAUAGAUAACUCUAUGGGUAUUGGUGCUAUUUCCCACUAUGUUGAGCUGCCACGUGUUUCAAAAGAAAUUACAGUGGUUACUGAUAGACCAUGGAUUUGACCCAUUUUUAUCUAUGGUUUAUAGGUAUUUUUACUAUCUAUUAUUAUAUUAUAGAGUCUAUUUAUUAUAUUUAUAAGAUCAGGAGUGAUUUGGAGAUAAGUGAUGAAUUUGGAGCAUUUUGGAGAUAUUUGGAGCAAGCACCUGAGAUGACGAUCGAGCUCGACCAUUGUCGAUAUUGGAGGAGGAAUAUCGAUCGAUGUUCACACCUGAACUUCGAUCGACAGCGAAGCGCGCAGAAAGCCCGUUUGGUCACAACCGACUUGAAGUCCAAGUUUUCACCAAUUUAUAAGAUUACCCCUGACGAGUUUUAAUCUAACUAUAUAAGCUUUGCCACCAUGUAAGAGGCAAAUGAUGCUUUUCUGUGUGUUUUAGUUUUAUUUCUUUCAGCAAAAGGUUUUAGGAUUGUGAUAGAUUGGAGAGAAGAUCCAAAGUUAUAAUUUGUGAUUGGAACUCCAUUAAUAUCUAUUUUACUAUUCUAUGAAGUUUUCUAACCUAAUUGCUUUCAUGAAUUGCUUGGCCAUGUCUGAGUAAAUCCACUGUUAGAUUUAGGGUUUAAAUAGGUUAUGAGGGAUUAGCCCCAACUAUAGAUUGCUGAGUUGUGGUAAUUAUCAUUAGGAUUGUUCAUUAAUGCCUGUUUCUAGAUUAGCUACCUAGAACUUGCCCUAGGAUUGAUAGAUAAAAGCGAGAGCUUCAUUCUCAUCCUGAAAACAUUCUAACUGAGCUAAGUUUCAAUUCACUCAGGAGCCUGCAUAAUCAUUUAGGGGCUCUUGGAUCAGAUUCAAGUCUUAUCAGAGAGACUGUCACUCAGGAGACUGCAUAAUCUACGAGGAUUCAAUGAAGUACAACUGCUCGCUACUUUCUACAGAGGCAUCGCGGUGCAGUACCAUAUUGCUCUUGAUGCUUCCAGCAAUGGAACCUUCAACACCAUGAAUCCAGAGGAGGCAAUAAAGGUUAUUGAAAACCUAGCAUCCAGCAACAUCACCAAGAACACUGAUUUUGAGGGGAAAAGAUCUGCCAAGAUCCUUGGGAAUGAUCAGAUGGAUAAGGUGAAGGCAAAGCUGGAUAGUGUUCACAAGCUCCUCAGGAAGCAUGUUAGCUUUGUUGAAGAUGCAGAAGCUGUAGAGGGUAGAGCAGAGGAAGAAGAGGUGAACUACAUUGGUGGAACUGGAUUCCAAGGUUCUGGAAACCAGGGUGGAAACAAAAACUCAUAUAGAAAUAUGAGAAAUUUCAACCAAAAUUCACAAUACCAAAAACCCUACAACAACAACUACAACAUGAAUUAUUGAAGUUCCUACUACCAGAAGCAACUGCUGCCUACUCAAGAGAGCAAGAUUGAAGAGAUGCUUGAUAGAGUUCUUGAGGCACAGCAGCGAAUGACAGUAAACUUCAAUGGGAAAAUAGAUUCUGUCUACACCAACCUGAACACAAAAUUUGAGACUUUGCGCACUCAUGUGAAGAAGCUGGAGAUGAAAGUUGUACAGACAAGAGAUGUUGUGAAGAGGCAGGAAGCCUCGACAAGAGGGGUAUGAGAUGAUGUGAUGAAACACCACGUGAAUGCCAUCAUUGAGGAUGAUUUUUGGUAACUGGUGAAGGAAGAUUACCUUCAAGAAGGAAAUUUUGAGGUAGAAAGUUUGAUGAGUUUUGGUGGAUCGCAAUGGUGUCGAUCGACGCCAGACCUCGAACAUCGAUCGACAUACACCAGUCCAAAUCGAUCGACAGAAACUCUAGAGCAUUGAUCAACGACGCCUACGUAGUCAACCACGUCUUGCAAUGCCGUGAAGAUUCUAACUCAUGAGGAGUUUUCAGCAAAACACCCACAUCCGCCCAGCCAUGUUAACGUACGAAUAAAUCGACAUGCUAACAACAACAUCGAUCGACACUCAGAAGCCGCCAUUGAACGACAACCUCCAGCGCCUAUCGAUCGACGUGCACCUAUUACCUAUCGAUCGAUGAGCACUUAAUGCACUCAUGCCCAAACCCAAACCUUUCGAAUACCCACUAGAGACCGUCAGGACACCUUCAGAUGAUGGAGAAGAUCCUAUGGAAGAGGAUAGGGUUCCUACUGAAAGAACCCUAAGGAGAAAAAAGGAAAAAGUUGCGAAACAUCUGAAGAGGGGGGCCAAUGAUAAGGAAAAGGAAAGUUUCCGGAAGAGAGUCUUUAGGAUUCCUAUAGAUAAGCCAUUUGAGAAUGCUUAUUAUAACCACAGAUUGUGGAUGUUCUUCACAGAAACUAGAGAGAAAGAAUAAGACAUCAUGUGAAUGUUCUGUGAAGCUAGAGAAAAGAUGAGGAUGAGGAUUACAUUGAAGAAGAAGGUUGAUCAUGGGCAAUUUGCAAUACCAUGCACGGUGAAGGGUAUUGAGUUCCCACAUGCCUUGUGCGACACAGGAGCAUCAGUCAGCAUCGUACCUAAGGUUAUGGCAGACCAUCUGGGUCUGCAGGUGGAGCCUUCGCAGGAAUUGUUAACUUUUGUGGAUUGUUCGCAGAUGAACUCAGGAGGAAUUGUGAGAGACCUAGAGGUGCAGAUUUGUAAUGCCCUAGUUCCAGUUGAUUUCCAUGUCUUGGACAUCAAGUUAAACUGGAACUCUUCUCUACUACUUGGGAGAGCUUUCUUGUCAAUAGUGGGAGCAGUGUGCAGCUCACAAACCAACCAGUUGUGUCUAACACUCAUCGAUCCUAAUGCCCACUACGAUCCUAUCCCAGUCAAGCAGCCCUCCCCAACCUAGGUCAAAUCAACUUCAGGUAAAGCAGUAUCUUGGUCUGUAUCGAUGAUAUUAGAUUGAUUUCAUAUUUGGGUCAAUUGAAUCGAAUUCUGGAGGAAUGGGAAAGUUUGGAUUGUCUGUAUGUUAUGGAUGUGGAUAAUCAACAACUAGAAGGUAAUGUCGGGAAUCAAAGCUGUGAAUUUUGAAUCCUGUUAAGAUGUUAUCGGAAACUGCUAGAGUAGAAAAAUGUAUGUAGGUGAAACUUUACUCCGUAACAAAAAAAGUGUAACAAGGUAUAACUUAGUAUAACUUCAAUAGCAUAACUGUAUAACUAGGUUUAACUUUGAAUAGUUAUUUU
This 5028-nucleotide long non-coding RNA is filed under the name Brassica napus (rape). Its description in RNAcentral is "long non-coding RNA (BNAP_LNC023140)". The record is from RNAcentral. Lineage: Eukaryota; Viridiplantae; Streptophyta; Magnoliopsida; Brassicales; Brassicaceae.